Beta vulgaris subsp. vulgaris (sugar beet) is the source of this 104-nucleotide non-coding RNA. Lineage: Eukaryota; Viridiplantae; Streptophyta; Magnoliopsida; Caryophyllales; Amaranthaceae. The record is from Rfam.
AAACCAUGAUGAGGAUAAAGGCACUGCAGAUCCUUGAAUCUUUCCCAGGCUUCAUACAACUACUCUCCAGGAUCUUGGGUGAAAGGCACUAUCUCAUGACGCAU